UAGUCAUAUGCUUGUCUCAAAGAUUAAGCCAUGCAUGUCUAAGUAUAAGCAAUCAUACUGUGAAACUGCGUAUGGCUCAUUAAAUCAGUUAUCGUUUAUUUGAUAGUACCUUUACCUGGAUAACCGUGGUAAUUCUAGAGCUAAUACAUGCUAAAAAUCCCGACUUCGGAAGGGAUGUAUUUAUUAGAUAAAAAACCAAUGCCCUUCGGGGCUCCUUGGUGAUUCAUAAUAACUUAACGAAUCGCAUGGCCUUGCGCUGGCGAUGGUUCAUUCAAAUUUCUGCCCUAUCAACUUUCGAUGGUAGGAUAGUGGCCUACCAUGGUCUCAACGGGUAACGGGGAAUUAGGGUUCUAUUCCGGAGAGGGGGCCUGAGAAACGGCUACCACAUCCAAGGAAGGCAGCAGGCGCGCAAAUUACCCAAUCCCAAUUCGAGGAGGUAGUGACUAUAAAUACUGAUACAGGGCUCUUUUGGGUCUUGUAAUUGGAAUGAGUACAAUCUAAAUCCCUUAACGAGGAACAAUUGGAGGGCAAGUCUGGUGCCAGCAGCC
Molecule: ribosomal RNA, 548 nt
Filed under: uncultured eukaryote
Lineage: Eukaryota
Description: SSU rRNA
Rfam family: Eukaryotic small subunit ribosomal RNA
Source: RNAcentral